Molecule: ribosomal RNA, 253 nt
Filed under: uncultured bacterium
Lineage: Bacteria
Description: partial 16S ribosomal RNA
Rfam family: Bacterial small subunit ribosomal RNA
Source: RNAcentral
UACGUAGGGUGCAAGCGUUGUUCGGAUUUACUGGGCGUAAAGGGCGCGUAGGCGGCUUUGUAAGUCACUUGUGAAAUCUCCGGGCUUAACUCGGAACGGCCAAGUGAUACUGCAAUGCUAGAGUGCAGAAGGGGCAAUCGGAAUUCUUGGUGUAGCGGUGAAAUGCGUAGAUAUCAAGAGGAACACCUGAGGUGAAGACGGGUUGCUGGGCUGACACUGACGCUGAUGCGCGAAAGCCAGGGGAGCAAACGGG